RNAcentral lists this ribosomal RNA (253 nucleotides) under uncultured bacterium. RNAcentral's name for it is "partial 16S ribosomal RNA". It matches the Rfam family "Bacterial small subunit ribosomal RNA", at positions 524 to 776 of the family's 1533-position model. The record is from RNAcentral.
UACGUAGGUGGCAAGCGUUGUCCGGAUUUAUUGGGUUUAAAGGGUGCGUAGGCGGUCCUAUAAGUCAGUGCUGAAAUAUCCCGGCUUAACCGGGAGGGUGGCAUUGAUACUGUAGGACUUGAGUGAAGUCGAGGUAGGCGGAAUUGACGGUGUAGCGGUGAAAUGCUUAGAUAUCGUCAAGAACACCGAUAGUGAAGACAGCUUACUAGACUUCAACUGACGCUGAGGCACGAAAGUGUGGGGAUCAAACAGG